Molecule: ribosomal RNA, 433 nt
Filed under: uncultured bacterium
Lineage: Bacteria
Description: partial 16S ribosomal RNA
Rfam family: Bacterial small subunit ribosomal RNA
Source: RNAcentral
AACGAAUGCUGGCGGCAUGCCUAACACAUGCCAGUCGAACGAGACCUUCGGGUCUAGUGGCGCACGGGUGCGUAACGCGUGGGAACCUGCCCUUAGGUUCGGAAUAACUCCCCGAAAGGGGUGCUAAUACCGGAUAAUGUCUUCGGACCAAAGAUUUAUCGCCUUUGGAUGGGCCCGCGUUGGAUUAGCUAGUUGGUAGGGUAAAAGCCUACCAAGGCGACGAUCCAUAGCUGGUCUGAGAGGAUGAUCAGCCACACUGGGACUGAGACACGGCCCAGACUCCUACGGGAGGCAGCAGUGGGGAAUAUUGGACAAUGGGCGAAAGCCUGAUCCAGCAAUGCCGCGUGAGUGAUGAAGGCCUUAGGGUUGUAAAGCUCUUUUACCCGGGAUGAUAAUGACAGUACCGGGAGAAUAAGCGCCGGCUAACUCCGUG